CAGCCGCCGCGGUAAUACGGAGGGCGCGAGCGUUGUCCGGAUUCACUGGGCGUAAAGCGGGUGUAGGCGGUCGGGUAAGUCGGACGUGAAAGCCCGGGGCUCAACCCCGGAAGGGCGUCCGAAACUGCUCGACUUGAGGGCGGGAGAGGGAGGUGGAAUUCCCGGUGUAGCGGUGAAAUGCGUAGAGAUGUGGAGGAACACCAGUGGCGAAGGCGGCUCUCUGGCCUGUAACUGACGCUGAGGCGCGAAAGCGUGGGGAGCAAACAGGAUUAGAUACCCUGGUAGUCCACGCCGUAAACGAUGAGUGCUAAGUGUUAGAGGGGUCACACCCUUUAGUGCUGUAGCUAACGCGAUAAGCACUCCGCCUGGGGAGUACGGCCGCAAGGCUGAAACUUAAAGGAAUUGGCGGG
This 410-nucleotide ribosomal RNA is filed under the name uncultured microorganism. Its description in RNAcentral is "bacterial SSU rRNA". It matches the Rfam family "Bacterial small subunit ribosomal RNA", at positions 509 to 917 of the family's 1533-position model. The record is from RNAcentral.